RNAcentral lists this transfer RNA (112 nucleotides) under Candidatus Aenigmatarchaeota archaeon. Its description in RNAcentral is "tRNA-Glu". It matches the Rfam family "tRNA". From Rfam's summary of the family: Transfer RNA (tRNA) molecules are approximately 80 nucleotides in length. Their secondary structure includes four short double-helical elements and three loops (D, anti-codon, and T loops). Lineage: Archaea; Nanobdellati; Candidatus Aenigmatarchaeota. The record is from RNAcentral.
GCUCCCAUAGUCUAGUCCGGUCAAGGCGUAUGAAGAUUCGAAGAAUCUUCUUUGCGGCUAUGGAUGCGGCCCUCUCGAGGCCGAGACACGGGUUCAAAUCCCGUUGGGAGCA